ACUCUCGGGACGCGGCUGUGGGCUGGGCAGGAGGGAGCCAAGUCUGGGGUGCACUGGGGAGCCCAGAACCACUGCUAUGCUCUGCAAAACUCUGAGGCGCUUCCAAAAGUUUGGAGCUGGGCAUGUAUUUUACUGAUUUCUAAAAAUCGUAAGCGGUUGUUCGGGGGGAGGAGAAGGGUGUUGGGGUGACGGGGUGUCCGCGCUGGAGACUCAGCUGUGUGCGCCCUGAUUCAGACGAGGGAGGCCUUCCAGGUGGGGGUGGGCAGGGAGCUUCUGGGGAAGAAUGCAUCCUGAGGGCGGAGAGCUACAGGGUAAGGGGGCCAGG
RNAcentral lists this long non-coding RNA (325 nucleotides) under Homo sapiens (human). RNAcentral's name for it is "non-protein coding lnc-SNX5-1:3". The record is from RNAcentral. Lineage: Eukaryota; Metazoa; Chordata; Mammalia; Primates; Hominidae.